GCGCUCAGCCCCGCCCCUGGCUCUGCCCCCGCCGCGGAGCGGAACCCUCCAAGUCGCGGCCUGAGGAGGAAGGAAAAGGGGGCGGCCCGGGAGAGCCGCUGCGAAAUCAGCAACGGGCGGGAACCAGGUUGCCUCCCUGAGUCCCUUCUCUCCCCGGCCGGCUGCCAACCACAGCCAAGGCCAGAGAAACAGGCCCUUCUGCCGCGGCCACCUGGGCGCCUUGGACCCGCCCUCCGGACUCGCCCCCGCCCCUGCCGCGGAGUGGAACGUUUGGAACCCUGAGGGGCACAGCUCCUCUAGCAAUUCCGAUGUGAAAAGAAGAUGGAUGGAGAAGCACUGAUUCAGCCAUGGCUGACAUGUCGGAGUUGGAAUGGACAGUGCCCGGACCUCACAGUCUCAGAGAACUGGAGAAGAGUAAAGCUGAAGAGGGCAUCAUCUGGUUACAAAUGACAAGUCCAGGGCUCCAGAAUAUUCCAACAUGCCUUACUUCUGAACCAAAACAUUGGUCCAGCUAUUAGCUUGAAGAUGACAGUCACUUCACGUAAUGGCAUCUUCUCAUGUGAAAUAGGACAUAAUGACUUUCAAAUGAAGAUCUGUGAUAAGAAACGAUCUCUAAGGUCAUCCUGGAACCAACUGACCUACUGACAGACUGUUAUAAUAGCAGUUCAGUGCCCAGCAAUCCCAUUACUGGGUAUAUACCCAAAGGAAUAGAAAUCAUUUUAUUAUAAAGAUACAUGCACACAUAUGUUCAUUGCAGCACUAUUCACAAUAGCAAAGACAUGGAAUCAACCUAAAUGCCCAUCAAUGAUAGACUGGAUAAAGAAAAUGUGGCACAUAUACACCAUGGAAGACUAUGCAGCCAUAAAAAGGAAUGAGAUCAUGUCCUUUGCAGGGACAUGGAUGGAGCUGGAAGCCAUUAUCUUCAGCAAACUAAUGCAGGAACAGAAAACCAAACACCACAUAUUCUCACUUAUAAGUGGAAGGUGACACACUUAUAAGUGUGUCCAUGUGAACACACAGACACAUGGAGGGGAACAACAUACACUGGGGCCUGUCGGGGAGGGGGUGGGUAGAGAAUCAGGAAGAAUAGCUAAUGCAUGCUGGGCUUAAUACCUAGGUGAUGGGUUGAUAGGUAUAGCAAAUCACCAUGGCACACAUUUACCUGUGUAACAAACCUGCACAUCCUGCACAUGUACCCCAGAA
This 1203-nucleotide long non-coding RNA is filed under the name Homo sapiens (human). RNAcentral's name for it is "HSALNT0407099". The record is from RNAcentral. Lineage: Eukaryota; Metazoa; Chordata; Mammalia; Primates; Hominidae.